RNAcentral lists this ribosomal RNA (242 nucleotides) under Neotragus moschatus (suni). RNAcentral describes it as "partial 12S ribosomal RNA". Lineage: Eukaryota; Metazoa; Chordata; Mammalia; Artiodactyla; Bovidae. The record is from RNAcentral.
CGGCAACAGCCCGAAACUCAAAGGACUUGGCGGUGCUUUAUACCCUUCUAGAGGAGCCUGUUCUAUAAUCGAUAAACCCCGAUAAACCUCACCGGUCCUUGCUAAUACAGUCUAUAUACCGCCAUCUUCAGCAAACCCUAAAAAGGAACAAAAGUAAGCUCAAUUAUCAAUACAUGAAAACGUUAGGUCAAGGUGUAACCAAUGGAACGGGAAGAAAUGGGCUACAUUUUCUACUCUAAGAA